RNAcentral lists this ribosomal RNA (420 nucleotides) under uncultured Nitrososphaerota archaeon. RNAcentral's name for it is "bacterial SSU rRNA". It matches the Rfam family "Archaeal small subunit ribosomal RNA", at positions 459 to 879 of the family's 1478-position model. The record is from RNAcentral. Lineage: Archaea; Thermoproteati; Nitrososphaerota.
CAGCCGCCGCGGUAAAACCAGCACCUCGAGUGGUCAGGAGGUUUAUUGGGCCUAAAGCAUCCGUAGCCGGUUGCAUAAGUUUUCGGUUAAAUCUAUGCGCUCAACGUAUAGGCCGCCGAAAAUACUGUGCAGCUAGGGAGUGGGAGAGGUACACGGUACUCAAUAGGAAGGGGUAAAAUCCUUUGAUCUAUUGAUGGCCACCUGUGGCGAAGGCGGUGUACCAGAACACGUUCGACGGUGAGGGAUGAAAGCUGGGGGAGCAAACCGGAUUAGAUACCCGGGUAGUCCCAGCUGUAAACGAUGCAGACUCGGUGAUGCAUUGGCUUGUGGCCAAUGCAGUGCCGCAGGGAAGCCGUUAAGUCUGCCGCCUGGGAAGUACGUACGCAAGUAUGAAACUUAAAGGAAUUGGCGGGGGAGCAC